GGGGAAUAUUGGACAAUGGGCGCAAGCCUGAUCCAGCAAUGCCGCGUGGGUGAAGAAGGCCUUCGGGUUGUAAAGCCCUUUUGUACGGGAAGAAAUCAUCCGGGUUAAUACCCUGGGUGGAUGACGGUACCGUAAGAAUAAGCACCGGCUAACUUCGUGCCAGCAGCCGCGGUAAUACGAAGGGUGCAAGCGUUAAUCGGAAUUACUGGGCGUAAAGCGUGCGUAGGUGGUUGUUAAGUCUGUCGUGAAAGCCCUGGGCUCAACCUGGGAAUGGCGACGGAUACUGGGCAGCUAGAGUGCGGUAGAGGAUGGCGGAAUUCCCGGUGUAGCGGUGAAAUGCGUAGAGAUCGGGAGGAACAUCUGUGGCGAAGGCGGCCAUCUGGACCAGCACUGACACUGAGGCACGAAAGCGUGGGGAGCAAAC
This 424-nucleotide ribosomal RNA is filed under the name uncultured bacterium. RNAcentral's name for it is "bacterial SSU rRNA". It matches the Rfam family "Bacterial small subunit ribosomal RNA", at positions 356 to 773 of the family's 1533-position model. The record is from RNAcentral.